Molecule: ribosomal RNA, 497 nt
Filed under: uncultured bacterium
Lineage: Bacteria
Description: partial 16S ribosomal RNA
Rfam family: Bacterial small subunit ribosomal RNA
Source: RNAcentral
GAUGAACGCUGGCGGCGUGCCUAAUACAUGCAAGUCGAGCGAACGGACGAGAAGCUUGCUUUUCUGAUGUUAGCGGCGGACGGGUGAGUAACACGUGGAUAACCUCCCUAUAAGACUGGGAUAACUUCGGGAAACCGGAGCUAAUACCGGAUAAUAUUUUGAACCGCAUGGUUCAAAAGUGAAAGACGGUCUUGCUGUCACUUAUAGAUGGAUCCGCGCUGCAUUAGCUAGUUGGUAAGGUAACGGCUUACCAAGGCAACGAUGCAUAGCCGACCUGAGAGGGUGAUCGGCGACACUGGAACUGAGACACGGUCCAGACUCCUACGGGAGGCAGCAGUAGGGAAUCUUCCGCAAUGGGCGAAAGCCUGACGGAGCAACGCCGCGUGAGAGAUGAAGGUCUUGGGAUCGUAAAACUCUGUUAUUAGGGAAGAACAUAUGUGUAAGUAACUGUGCACAUCUUGACGGUACCUAAUCAGAAAGCCACGGCUAACUACGUG